GCGGCGGUGGUGAAAUUGGUAGACACGCUAGCUUGAGGGGCUAGUGGCAGCAAUGCCGUGCUGGUUCAAGUCCAGUUCGCCGCA
Molecule: transfer RNA, 84 nt
Filed under: Marispirochaeta aestuarii
Lineage: Bacteria; Pseudomonadati; Spirochaetota; Spirochaetia; Spirochaetales; Spirochaetaceae
Rfam family: tRNA
About the family: Transfer RNA (tRNA) molecules are approximately 80 nucleotides in length.
Source: Rfam by way of RNAcentral